GCUCCAGUAGCUCAGGGGUAGAGCACACCCUUGGUAAGGGUGAGGUCGGCGGUUCAAUUCCGCCCUGGAGCU
RNAcentral lists this transfer RNA (72 nucleotides) under Motiliproteus sp. MSK22-1. It matches the Rfam family "tRNA". From Rfam's summary of the family: Transfer RNA (tRNA) molecules are approximately 80 nucleotides in length. Their secondary structure includes four short double-helical elements and three loops (D, anti-codon, and T loops). Lineage: Bacteria; Pseudomonadati; Pseudomonadota; Gammaproteobacteria; Oceanospirillales; Oceanospirillaceae. The record is from Rfam by way of RNAcentral. RNAcentral also lists the same sequence under 1 other name.